AGGAGGGUGUCAUUCAUGGGGAUGGCAGGGGUGGUGGAUUAUUUAAUGGCCACAAAUUCUUCCUAUCCUAAUGUCCCAGAAUAAAGUCUGCGGCAGCCUACUGAAGGCCACUUGAAGAGGCAGCCAGCACCGACCAGGAUGAGCUGGCACUGAUCCACGAUGAGUGGGUCUGACCCCAUCCACACUGAGCAGAACUGCCCAGGCCAGCUGCUCUUGCCUCCUGAGCCCCCAGGCGACCAAACAAAUGAAUGCAAUCCUGUUGGUGACAAAUAAAUACUAGCUGCUGGGUUUCCUCAUUUGUGAAGUGGAGAUAAUACUGUCCUUCAGAUGUCCUUCUCACAGUGUCAGGGACAAUACAGCGAAUUAUAAAGACUGAAAAGAUGGAACGUUUUUUACACAUGCAAGAAUAUUAUAAACUCUUAAAGCUGAGAAUGAAGACACAAAAUGAUUCCUGCAUACUGCUUGUCCAAAGGAAUGUUUAAGAAUGAGCACUUUGUGUUGGACCCUGUUACGAUUUAGUUCUGAAAUGUUCUCCCAAAGUCUCCCACUCAGAGGUGGGGCUUUUGGAAGGCGAUUGGAUAGUGCUAUACUCAAUAGUGGAUUAAUCCAUUGGUGGAUUUGGAGGAGAGGAGAACUUCAUCUGACUAAAUGGCAGUUGAGAUUUGAAGGGUGAGUGUCAGAUUUAUCAAAGAAGAACUGGAAAGCAAGCUGCAUCAUUUCAUUAAAGAUCAUUAAAAAUG
Molecule: long non-coding RNA, 740 nt
Organism: Chinchilla lanigera (long-tailed chinchilla)
Lineage: Eukaryota; Metazoa; Chordata; Mammalia; Rodentia; Chinchillidae
Exons: 6
Source: RefSeq, a predicted model, not a curated record